This 21-nucleotide non-coding RNA is filed under the name Arabidopsis thaliana (thale cress). Lineage: Eukaryota; Viridiplantae; Streptophyta; Magnoliopsida; Brassicales; Brassicaceae. The record is from RNAcentral.
UCUGUAGUGUCUGCGUAGCCU